CCUACGGGAGGCAGCAGUGGGGAAUAUUGGGCAAUGGGCGCAAGCCUGACCCAGCAACGCCGCGUGAAGGAAGAAGGCCCUCGGGUUGUAAACUUCUUUUGUCAGGGACGAAGCAAGUGACGGUACCUGACGAAUAAGCCACGGCUAACUACGUGCCAGCAGCCGCGGUAAUACGUAGGUGGCAAGCGUUAUCCGGAUUUACUGGGUGUAAAGGGCGUGUAGGCGGGGAAGCAAGUCAGAUGUGAAAUUCCAGGGCUCAACCCUGGAACUGCAUUUGAAACUGUUUUUCUUGAGUGAUGGAGAGG
This 305-nucleotide ribosomal RNA is filed under the name uncultured bacterium. Its description in RNAcentral is "bacterial SSU rRNA". It matches the Rfam family "Bacterial small subunit ribosomal RNA", at positions 338 to 657 of the family's 1533-position model. The record is from RNAcentral.